UUGAAACAGAAAUAACUUUAUUAACAUUAAAACACAAGACGUGAAUAGUCCCUUUUACAAUAGGAUAAUUCUGGCCAAAGAAAGUGGAGUGCAUUAAAAAGUUGUUUUAUUGUUCAGAAUAAAUGUGUUGUCUUCAGAAUGCCUCAAAUCAAAGGUAGCAGGAGGAAUGCUUGUGAAAGUGUCCCCUUGGUUAGCAGUCGUUCCAUCUUUCUUGGUACGACAUGGAGUGGAAUAGAGUACUCUGGGGCUGGUUGGAGGACUCCGAGCUGCCCAGAUCCCUCGCACUCCUGAAGCUAUGUCUGUGAUUUUUCAUUCUUCAGAGGCAAGAGCCCAAGUAUUGUUCUUUAUACAGCGACCUAUGCCGGUUUACAGAAUGUCACAAACCAUGAGUAAUACUUGUGGAUAGUUCAGAUGUUUUGCUUUGCUUCUGAUGAAAAACAGAGGGCAGAGUUAUUCAUAGACAUAAGUGACUUCUGUUAAUCUAUGAAUGACUCACAGUGCUUUUAUCAUAAGAUUGAUAGGUCAUAGUUGACACAACCCCAUAGUUAACACUCCUUGAUCAAAUCCACCAUUUUAGCCCUCUGCAUAGAGCUUUGCAACUUAACUGCUUCAUUGAUCCACACAAAAAGGCCUGUUUCUUCACUUUCUUGUCUCACUUCUCAACACCACUUAUAUUACAGAGGUGACAUGAAAUGAAGACUUAAAUUGCUAACACCAACUUAUCUGCAGAAAGGCUGUGGUACAUUUAACUUGUACUUUAAAAGUAUUAUAAAUAAUUAAAAACUCCAAUUGCUUGAGUAAGUAAAGAAAAUUUAUCUGAAUGCACGUUAUCUCUGCUCAUCAUUAUGUUUGUUCCCUUGCUCUUGUUUGCAAAGCUUCCCAUGGAUAUAACUGAAUUAUUAAGACAACACACACUUUAGCAUCAAAUAAACCACUUUGAAAUAUGAUGUGCUCACUCACUACUAUGACAGUGCAAGGGGUCAGAUUUUACCAAGUUUUCUCUAGCUUUUCUUUGCUGAUGAGGUCUGUAUUUAAAAUUAUUAACUGGUUGGUCUAUUUCACCCUAUGCUAUUCAUAUGCAAUAUUAUUUGAAUACUAACACAGAAUAUAAAAUAGCAGCAUCCAAGGAUAAUAAAAACACUAUGACGAUCUAAAAUGUGUUCACAAUUAGCUGCAAUGUUCACAUUGACUGUAAUGGAAGAGUAGCUGAUUCUGGAGGACAUAGUGGUUACGUCUACCUUGCAUGAGAGACAUGGCCUGCAAAUUAGAAUUGUUAUCUAUACAGGCACCAAGUUUGCAAGCAUGGCCCAGGGUGAACAUGUAACAGGAUUCUGUCUGUUCCUGGCUGUUCCGGAGCUUCCUAUGGAUAGAUGAUGGGUAAAAACAAAAGGCUGUGUUCUGUGCUGGUCCCCAACAUGCAGAAGUGUGUCUGUCCUAGAGACACAAAGUGCUUUCUCUUAACUGAACAAAGACUAAAUGCCCACUCAGGCUUCCUGUAUCUUGCAGAAAGGUACUCAUGGAGCUGCCAUGAGGAACAAGCCCUGUUUCAGUGGGCUGAAUGAAGCCUCCAGGUUGAGAACUUAAUUCACAGAUCUAAAGUCUCGCAGAAUCUCUCUAUUUGCUGCAAGACAGGACUAACUCUGUCCAGCUCUUUUUUCACGGUAACUUGACAUCUUAAUUGCUCUUAGGGAAGCACACUUGUCCAUCCUUACGCACUGUUAAGAGCCUGAUUUCAUAGUCAGGAGUUCUCAUGAAGGUUCCUGCUGACUGUUUUCCUUUGGACACUGCAAUUUCCCACCUGCUCUUGAAAUGAGCUGGUUUGUCGCAAUUCCCAGGUUAGAUGCUCUCUCACUAUAUAGUCCACAUUUUCAGUUCUGCAGUUUCUGUUCAGACUGCAUCUUUCUUUGAGGAGCAUGUACUGGAUGUGUUUAUAGUGUCCUUGAACAGUGACCCAGAGCUGAGUUCCUCAUGAGUCUUGUGGCAAGGCAGAGGGUAAUCUUCCAAGUGUGGUUCUCAAAUGCAACCAGAGCUCACUCUCUGGAGCACAUGGGACACCACUUGCCUCACUGUAUCAAAUGGCUUAAUCAGGAAGCUGGCACACUGUCCCAGGCUGGGUGUAUAGGAAAAACCCAAGUAAGGAUUGUGGUACUUCAAGCUGCUCUUAAAACAGGCCUUGAAUGGCUGCCUGAGCAUGUACUGCCUUGAUACCUCCAGCGAUGACCACUGGGCUUAUCUGCUUGUAUGCUCCCUCCUCCUCCUCAGUUUCUUCACUAUCUCAGUGCAUUUCUGGCUAGUGGAACACCCAUAAACUGUAAAUCCCCUAUAAAAAUUUUCUCAGCCCCUUCAGUGGGGUCUCCAGUCAAAAGGGGUUGGGUUCAGAUGUUGAAGUAACAGCCUGUUCUCCAGGUUUCUCCAGAGCAAGGAAGUCUUGUUGCUGGCUUGGUGGGUAUCUGGGACAUCAUUGUUAUCAAAUAGUUUGGGUUAGAAGUGACCCUUAAAGAUGAUCAAGUCCCAACCUCCUGCCAUGGGCAGGGACACCCUCCUGUAGACCAGGUUACUCAAAGCCCCAUCCAACCUGGCCUUGAACAAUUCCGAGGAUGGGGCAUCCACAGCAUCUCUGGGACAGCUUUUUCUGUGCCAGUGUCUCCCCACCCUUACAAUAAAGAAUUUCUGCCUAAUAUCUUAACAAAAACUACGCUCUUUCAGUAAAGCCAAUACCCACAUGUCCUAUAAAAUACAUGGCCCUCUCGUCAUAUAAAUCUACAUUUUAGGCAGCACUUCUCAACUUUGAAAAAUGGUAUUUAAUUACCUUAUGACUCAUUGAUCUUUUUUUGUUGUGUUUGAUUUUGCUUGUACUAGGUUAGGUUAUGGGGAACCAGGGCAAGAGGUGAAUAGUACAGAGGAUGUAACGUUUCUUUCCUUUGAUGAGCACCAUGUAGUGCUAAAGUAUUCCUAAAAGUUAUAGUUGUAACAUAGCAGCCUUGAUCUAAGAACAUUAGUCUUAUACUUGAUACCCCUUUAAAGUUCCUAAAUUGAUCAGGCUUUUUUAUUAAUUGUUUUCAUGCAGUCAAGAAGCAAAGUCUCUGCCUGAGCUGCCUCUGUAAAUCCAGCUGUUUGUGCAACUCCUUAGUCACUAGUGAGAUUCAUUUGGAGAGCUGAUAGACAAAGGUGGGUGUUCAAAGUCAGGAAGAACAAGGGCAGAUUAAAUAAGGUUACAGUCACAAAUGCCUUGUUUUCUGCAUUUUAAGAGGGGUGUGGUAAGAUGACGUUUACAGCGAGAAAUGUUUGGAGCGCUGAUUUUAUGCUGAGAGAACACUAAUAUGAAAUAACUAAGGAGAAACAUGUUUCAUCCUGAAAGUGCUAACAGGAAGCUCCUUCCUGUGGCAACUAGCUAUCACUGAAUCUUCAACAAGACCCAGAGGAUAAUGCAUAUUGGAAGGGAUCUCACCAUGACAUCAAGUCUCAGACCCCGUUCCAGACAGGGACUGCUUGGAGAAGGCUGCUCAGGGCAGUGAAAGUCUUGACACAGUACCUGCUGGAGACAUGGAAGGGAUUUUCUCAACUCCAGCUGAUGCUACUUUGGGCCAGAGCUGCCCUUUAUGUUUCUGAUCCAUUACCCUUCAGUCUGAGCUCAAGGAAGCAUUCUGAUGAGGAGUAAACACGGUGGAAUAGCUGCUGAUGGGGAGGGCAUGCACGUGCUGCACCUUGCAAUGCUACAGCCACUGCUGGGCUGUACCUGGGCAGCUUUCUCUAGGCAAGGGGAUGGGACUGAGCCACCCAAGCAGCAGUGCCAUGGAAUGCCUUCAGACAGUCAGGAUGUGAGAUCUGCUCCUGUCACCUCUAGAUGCAAACAGCACAUUAAUACUGGUGCUGCUCAAGAACUGGCAAUAAAGUCAUCUUCUUUUGACUAUUUAAUAGGAAAAUAAGUGGUCUACAUACCAUGCUGAAUGUGCUUUAUGCCUCUGCCUCAUCAGGCUCCCACUGCUGCCUGCUGAUGCAUGGUACUCCUCCACAGAAACUUUCAAGAGAAAAGAUGAACUAUCAUGAACUGUUGAUGACUCAAAAGAACCACUUGAAAAUUUGCCUUCAACUAACUAGUCUUGCUGUAAGUGGUUUUAAAUCUCUCAGGAAGACUUGUCUCCAAAGCCGGAGCAUUAAUGAGUAGAACAUUUAUAAAGACCUUAAAUUGACUGCAGGUUUAAAGGUUCAUGAAGACCUUUGAGCAGAAAUUAUCUCCUUCCAAAGUGGAGAAGACAUUAGAGAUACAAAGUUAUAUUGCUGUAAAUUGUAAGAAACCUGAAUUUUAACCAAUUUCAAUUCACAUAUAUUAGAGAAGCCUGUGAAAGAAACUUUAUUCAAGAACAAAGGGAAAUAAUGGUUUAUUAGCCUUAAUUUUUAUCUCUGCAUCUGAGCAGAGGUCAUCUUAUUUCCUUUUUUGUUUCAUCCACUGUUACCACUCCUCAUGUACUGUGGGCUUCAGAGGGGAGCUGUCAGCUUCUGCAUGUUUGCACAGCACAGUGGGCUAAGCCCCCAGAAACCACCAAAAUAGGAAACUGACACAGUGGUAUCAGCCUUUCCAAAGGCUAAAAACAGACAGCUGUUGCCAGCAUUGCCCAGAAUCGAGUGUUUUGAUUCAGUUUUCAGCAAAUAGUUAAAUUUGCUGAAAUUCACCUCAUCCUAAUACAGGGGUUUUAAAUGGGUCAGAAGAAUCAGGCUUCAGAAAUGCCUCUUUUCUUACUAGUAAGGCAGUAUUAAAGUGACUGCCUUAAAUGAGAUACAUGUACGGACUGCAUGGAAGCAAAAUCCUAUUUAUAAAAUGAUUACAAUAAAGUUAGACUUAAAGGAAAGGAAAAACUGCUCUGAAUUUACCAUCUUCCAUUUAAACCAAACACUUGUUGAGUAAGAAUCAUUACUAGGCUGGGAAAGUCACCACACCCUCAUUAGGUCUCCCCUCAUCUAUUUUCGGAUACAUCCAGUGUAGCAGUCUGCAUUUGAGCUAAUGACCCUGAGUUCCCCUUAUACUCAGUGGGAAAACACAAGCAUGCUCAGAGUGCAGGGUAUUUCACCUGCUUGAAAUACCUUGUGAUUAAACAAAUAAUGCCCCAGAAGAAGCUGCUUCUCUUCACUGGCCAUCCAAUUUUUUUCUGCAGCAUUGACAGGAAACUGAGUUCAGGAGCUGCCCAAGAGCAGAUGCACUUCAGAACAUUUCCCUUUGCUCUCUGUGAGGAAGAUGAUAGUACUGGGAAUGUCUAAAAGGAACUCUUAGGCUUCUCUCUAUAUUAAAAGAGAAAGAGACUUCAGCCUAAAAGGCAAGGAAGAACCUAGGAUAAGGGACAGAGCUAGAUCCUGGACAGCAAAGGUGAUUUCUUCUGUCCUUAACUGCUAAAAAAAAAAAAAAAAAAAAAAAA
Molecule: long non-coding RNA, 5408 nt
Organism: Taeniopygia guttata (zebra finch)
Lineage: Eukaryota; Metazoa; Chordata; Aves; Passeriformes; Estrildidae
Source: Ensembl